Molecule: ribosomal RNA, 486 nt
Filed under: uncultured bacterium
Lineage: Bacteria
Description: partial 16S ribosomal RNA
Rfam family: Bacterial small subunit ribosomal RNA
Source: RNAcentral
GACGAACGCUGGCGGCGUGCUUAACACAUGCAAGUCGAACGCUGAAGACCUGGCUUUUGUUGGGUUGGAUGAGUGGCGAACGGGUGAGUAACACGUGAGUAACCUGCCCUCUUCUUUGGGAUAACGCCCGGAAACGGGUGCUAAUACUGGAUAUUCACUGGCCUUCGCAUGGGGGUUGGUGGAAAGGUUUGUUCUGGUGGGGGAUGGGCUCGCGGCCUAUCAGCUUGUUGGUGGGGUGAUGGCCUACCAAGGCUUUGACGGGUAGCCGGCCUGAGAGGGUGACCGGUCACAUUGGGACUGAGAUACGGCCCAGACUCCUACGGGAGGCAGCAGUGGGGAAUAUUGCACAAUGGGCGAAAGCCGGAUGCAGCGACGCCGCGUGAGGGAUGGAGGCCUUCGGGUUGUAAACCUCUUUCGCUCAUGGUCAAGCCGCAACUGUGGGUUGUGGUGAGGGUAGUGGGUAAAGAAGCGCCGGCUAACUACGUG